Molecule: long non-coding RNA, 846 nt
Filed under: Strigops habroptila (Kakapo)
Lineage: Eukaryota; Metazoa; Chordata; Aves; Psittaciformes; Psittacidae
Description: lncRNA (ENSSHBG00005010563.1)
Source: RNAcentral
GUCACCCCCGGCCUCUGGCUGCGGUGGCAGGACUUACUAAUGAGGCUGAAACUUCAGAUUCCAGAGAAGAGAGGAUGCUUUGGAGCAGGGAGCAGCAUGGAUUUCCAAGUCUGGGGUGAGUUACCUCUGCAUCUGUCAGCAAGCACAAGCCAGGAUGCCAUGUAGAUUUGCACUGAAGACUGUCUUUGACUCCCUGAAUAAGAAAGCAUCUUUGCUCCCUUCCUCUAAUGAGCUGAGAGCUCCUGGUUUCCAACUCUGCAGUGCAUGUGUGAAAUUGGCCAGCAGGAUCAGAGCUGGGCCUACAAGGUAAGUGUGAGCAAGUUUCUAAUGAAGUCAUUGCAUUUAUGUAAGUUGUUCUUUGUUCAGCAGCUCAAAUUGGACCAUGGGCUUGAUAUUUCAAGUAGUAACAUUACUUUGCUGUUGAAAUACAUGGUGAUGUUUGAGAACUUGCAAAUUCUUCCUUGUCGUCUUUGCGGGCCAUGAGGCUAUCUGUGGUUUGGGUAUGAGAAGAGAGAGGGAUAGAAUUUGCUUGGGCAACCCCACAAGCAGCCCUUGUGCUACUUAAAACUUGUGGGGACUAAGCAGGCAGUCACCUAUCUCUAACCUAUGACCUGAAUUACUCCACUGUGCCCAGCAUAAACUGGAAAGAGAUGAGUUUGUGUCCUAAUACACUUUUUUGAAAGACUAGCAAUUGAGCUUGCUGUGUGAAGUCCUCCCCUUGAGUUACUAAGAGGUUUUAUUCUGGAUAGCAUCCUGCAUAUGUUUUUCAGUCACAGGCGGGAAUAAUUCCGGGGAAGCUGCUUUGCUCUGUUGCCUAAUUAAUAAUACAUCACUUUAAAAAAAAAA